Molecule: ribosomal RNA, 2545 nt
Filed under: Staphylococcus aureus T70161
Lineage: Bacteria; Bacillati; Bacillota; Bacilli; Caryophanales; Staphylococcaceae
Also listed under: 1 other name
Description: bacterial LSU rRNA
Rfam family: Bacterial large subunit ribosomal RNA
Source: RNAcentral
CUGUAGUCGAAAAUGUUGUCUCUCUUGAGUGGAUCCUGAGUACGACGGAACACGUGAAAUUCCGUCGGAAUCUGGGAGGACCAUCUCCUAAGGCUAAAUACUCUCUAGUGACCGAUAGUGAACCAGUACCGUGAGGGAAAGGUGAAAAGCACCCCGGAAGGGGAGUGAAAUAGAACCUGAAACCGUGUGCUUACAAGUAGUCAGAGCCCGUUAAUGGGUGAUGGCGUGCCUUUUGUAGAAUGAACCGGCGAGUUACGAUUUGAUGCAAGGUUAAGCAGUAAAUGUGGAGCCGUAGCGAAAGCGAGUCUGAAUAGGGCGUUUAGUAUUUGGUCGUAGACCCGAAACCAGGUGAUCUACCCUUGGUCAGGUUGAAGUUCAGGUAACACUGAAUGGAGGACCGAACCGACUUACGUUGAAAAGUGAGCGGAUGAACUGAGGGUAGCGGAGAAAUUCCAAUCGAACCUGGAGAUAGCUGGUUCUCUCCGAAAUAGCUUUAGGGCUAGCCUCAAGUGAUGAUUAUUGGAGGUAGAGCACUGUUUGGACGAGGGGCCCCUCUCGGGUUACCGAAUUCAGACAAACUCCGAAUGCCAAUUAAUUUAACUUGGGAGUCAGAACAUGGGUGAUAAGGUCCGUGUUCGAAAGGGAAACAGCCCAGACCACCAGCUAAGGUCCCAAAAUAUAUGUUAAGUGGAAAAGGAUGUGGCGUUGCCCAGACAACUAGGAUGUUGGCUUAGAAGCAGCCAUCAUUUAAAGAGUGCGUAAUAGCUCACUAGUCGAGUGACACUGCGCCGAAAAUGUACCGGGGCUAAACAUAUUACCGAAGCUGUGGAUUGUCCUUUGGACAAUGGUAGGAGAGCGUUCUAAGGGCGUUGAAGCAUGAUCGUAAGGACAUGUGGAGCGCUUAGAAGUGAGAAUGCCGGUGUGAGUAGCGAAAGACGGGUGAGAAUCCCGUCCACCGAUUGACUAAGGUUUCCAGAGGAAGGCUCGUCCGCUCUGGGUUAGUCGGGUCCUAAGCUGAGGCCGACAGGCGUAGGCGAUGGAUAACAGGUUGAUAUUCCUGUACCACCUAUAAUCGUUUUAAUCGAUGGGGGGACGCAGUAGGAUAGGCGAAGCGUGCGAUUGGAUUGCACGUCUAAGCAGUAAGGCUGAGUAUUAGGCAAAUCCGGUACUCGUUAAGGCUGAGCUGUGAUGGGGAGAAGACAUUGAGUCUUCGAGUCGUUGAUUUCACACUGCCGAGAAAAGCCUCUAGAUAGAAAAUAGGUGCCCGUACCGCAAACCGACACAGGUAGUCAAGAUGAGAAUUCUAAGGUGAGCGAGCGAACUCUCGUUAAGGAACUCGGCAAAAUGACCCCGUAACUUCGGGAGAAGGGGUGCUCUUUAGGGUUAACGCCCAGAAGAGCCGCAGUGAAUAGGCCCAAGCGACUGUUUAUCAAAAACACAGGUCUCUGCUAAACCGUAAGGUGAUGUAUAGGGGCUGACGCCUGCCCGGUGCUGGAAGGUUAAGAGGAGUGGUUAGCUUCUGCGAAGCUACGAAUCGAAGCCCCAGUAAACGGCGGCCGUAACUAUAACGGUCCUAAGGUAGCGAAAUUCCUUGUCGGGUAAGUUCCGACCCGCACGAAAGGCGUAACGAUUUGGGCACUGUCUCAACGAGAGACUCGGUGAAAUCAUAGUACCUGUGAAGAUGCAGGUUACCCGCGACAGGACGGAAAGACCCCGUGGAGCUUUACUGUAGCCUGAUAUUGAAAUUCGGCACAGCUUGUACAGGAUAGGUAGGAGCCUUUGAAACGUGAGCGCUAGCUUACGUGGAGGCGCUGGUGGGAUACUACCCUAGCUGUGUUGGCUUUCUAACCCGCACCACUUAUCGUGGUGGGAGACAGUGUCAGGCGGGCAGUUUGACUGGGGCGGUCGCCUCCUAAAAGGUAACGGAGGCGCUCAAAGGUUCCCUCAGAAUGGUUGGAAAUCAUUCAUAGAGUGUAAAGGCAUAAGGGAGCUUGACUGCGAGACCUACAAGUCGAGCAGGGUCGAAAGACGGACUUAGUGAUCCGGUGGUUCCGCAUGGAAGGGCCAUCGCUCAACGGAUAAAAGCUACCCCGGGGAUAACAGGCUUAUCUCCCCCAAGAGUUCACAUCGACGGGGAGGUUUGGCACCUCGAUGUCGGCUCAUCGCAUCCUGGGGCUGUAGUCGGUCCCAAGGGUUGGGCUGUUCGCCCAUUAAAGCGGUACGCGAGCUGGGUUCAGAACGUCGUGAGACAGUUCGGUCCCUAUCCGUCGUGGGCGUAGGAAAUUUGAGAGGAGCUGUCCUUAGUACGAGAGGACCGGGAUGGACAUACCUCUGGUGUACCAGUUGUCGUGCCAACGGCAUAGCUGGGUAGCUAUGUGUGGACGGGAUAAGUGCUGAAAGCAUCUAAGCAUGAAGCCCCCCUCAAGAUGAGAUUUCCCAACUUCGGUUAUAAGAUCCCUCAAAGAUGAUGAGGUUAAUAGGUUCGAGGUGGAAGCAUGGUGACAUGUGGAGCUGACGAAUACUAAUCGAUCGAAGACUUAAUCAA